CAUAUCACUAACAAUAUACUGACGCUGAUGAACGAAAGCGUAGGUAGCCAACAGGAUUAGAUACCCUGGUAGUCUACGCUGUAAACGAUGGUUACUAGCUGUUCGUCACGCCUUAGGCGAGAUGAGUGGUUAAGCGAAAGUGAUAAGUAACCCACCUGGGGAGUACGUUUGCAAGAAUGAAACUCAAAGGAAUUGACGGGGGCCCGCACAAGCGGCGGAGCAUGUGGUUUAAUUCGAUGAUACGCGAGGAACCUUACCAGGGCUUAAAUGCAUAUUGACGAUUCACGAAAGUGGAUUUUCUUCGGACAAUUUGCAAGGUGCUGCAUGGUUGUCGUCAGCUCGUGCCGUGAGGUGUCAGGUUAAGUCCUAUAACGAGCGCGACCCCUGUGGUUAGUUACCAGCAUGUAAUGAUGGGGACUCUAGCCAGACUGCCGGUGCAAACCGUGAGGAAGGUGGGGAUGACGUCAAAUCAUCACGGCCCUUACGCCUUGGGCUACACACGUGCUACAAUGGUAUAUACAAUGAGCAGCCAUCUGGCGACAGAGCGCUAAUCUAUAAAGUAUAUCACAGUUCGAAUCGGAGUCUGCAACUCGACUCUGUGAAGCUGGAAUCGCUAGUAAUCGCACAUCAGCCAUGGUGCGGUGAAUACGUUCCCGGGCCUUGUACACACCGCCCGU
This 677-nucleotide ribosomal RNA is filed under the name uncultured bacterium. RNAcentral's name for it is "bacterial SSU rRNA". It matches the Rfam family "Bacterial small subunit ribosomal RNA", at positions 722 to 1397 of the family's 1533-position model. The record is from RNAcentral.